This 536-nucleotide long non-coding RNA is filed under the name Mus musculus (house mouse). RNAcentral's name for it is "predicted gene 12395". Lineage: Eukaryota; Metazoa; Chordata; Mammalia; Rodentia; Muridae. The record is from RNAcentral.
AAAAAUAAAAUAUAUUUUCUUUAAAAAUUGCCAUUCUCAAGGUUGGGAGUCAGGGUGAAGAGUAACAUCCCUCUGCCUUCACAUUCCUGCUGUGACAGACUGCUGUGAGCUAAAAGUAGACCCCUUUCUCUCUUAACUCACUCUGUCAGUGUUUUAUGACAGCAACAGAAAAGAGACCUAGAUACCUGCCUCUUCCCUAUGGUUCUGAGAUCUGUGAGGGUUGGAGGAGGAGGGAAGAUACGGCCCCUCAUAUUCUGGGGGCACAAUCACAGGGGCGGGGCAAGGGUAGAGGAAGUCACUUCUCAGAUUCCACUGAGGACUGCGCAGACUCACUGCUGGGCCUACUGUGGGAUGCCAGGCCUACUGUGGGACACUGGGCCUACUGUGAGAUGCCAGGCCUACUGUGGGAUUCUAGGCCUACUGUGAGAUGCCAGGCCUUCUGUGGGACACUGGGUCUACUGUGGGACACUGGGCCUACUGUGGGAUGCCAGGCCUCCUAUGAGACACUGGGCCUACUGUGGGAUGCUAGACCUACU